AGUGGGGAAUUUUGGACAAUGGGGGGAACCCUGAUCCAGCCAUGCCGCGUGCAGGAUGAAGGCCUUCGGGUUGUAAACUGCUUUUGUACGGAACGAAAAGGUCUUUUCUAAUAAAGAAGGCUGAUGACGGUACCGUAAGAAUAAGCACCGGCCAACUACGUGCCAGCAGCCGCGGUAAUACGUAGGGUGCGAGCGUUAAUCGGAAUUACUGGGCGUAAAGCGUGCGCAGGCGGUUAUGCAAGACAGAUGUGAAAUCCCCGGGCUCAACCUGGGAACUGCAUUAGUGACUGCAUAGCUAGAGUGCGGCAGAGGGGGAUGGAAUUCCGCGUGUAGCAGUGAAAUGCGUAGAUAUGCGGAGGAACACCGAUGGCGAAGGCAAUCCCCUGGGCCUGCACUGACGCUCAUGCACGAAAGCGUGGGGAGCAAACAGGAUUAGAUACCCUGGUAGUCCACGCCCUAAACGAUGUCAACUGGUUGUUGGGGAUUUACUUCCUCAGUAACGAAGCUAACGCGUGAAGUUGACCGCCUGGGGAGUACGGCCGC
Molecule: ribosomal RNA, 543 nt
Filed under: uncultured bacterium
Lineage: Bacteria
Description: bacterial SSU rRNA
Rfam family: Bacterial small subunit ribosomal RNA
Source: RNAcentral